Gossypium arboreum is the source of this 1555-nucleotide long non-coding RNA. RefSeq lists it as uncharacterized. NCBI's taxonomy places the organism in Eukaryota, Viridiplantae, Streptophyta, Magnoliopsida, Malvales, Malvaceae. The record is from RefSeq and is a predicted model, not a curated record. The transcript is spliced from 6 exons.
GCAUUUAUUAAAGAAAAACAGAGUAUUAAAGCUCACUUCCUCGAGAAAGUCAUCAUCUGCCUCGUUAACUGUCCAGCCAUAAUUACUUGACAUUUUAUCUUUACCAGAAGCCCUUUUUUCCAUCCAAAACGCUCCCCUAAUUUUCAAUUAAUCAUUUCAAUAAAAAAAACAUUUCUUCUCCAAUGUUUUGAUUCCUAGGGAGCAAACAUUGUGUUCCUCACAAAACUUCAAUAUGGUUCUCUGAUCAAAUCAUCUUCUAGAGCUUUAACUGUGAAUCUUGGUAUUGAGCCUUCCAGGUAUAACCUUUCCCUUUUCUCCAAGCUUUUAGAGGCUAUUUUGUCUGCCAGAUUAUUUAGUAUGUGAUGAAUAUGUUGGGAUUUGACAGAUCUAAACUCACUCUGUAAAGCCUUUAUGUUUUGGAUAAUAGAACAUAUUUCUGAUUUGUCUCUAGAGUUUGAAAUGCAUUUCUUAAUGACUGGUACCGAGUCCUCUUCAAUAUAGAUGUUACGAUCUUUCAUUUUUAACCCCAGUUUAACUGCCUCUAAACAUGCAUGUGCUUCUGCUGCGAAAGCCGAACCAACAUUUUCGUGGAUGGUCGCUCUGGAGGUGAUAAUUUUACCCCUUCCAUCUUUAGCAACCACUCUCGAACCUACUCUGAAAAGAUCUCUAUUAAAUCUGAGUCGAAGUUGAUUUUAAUAUCUUUUCCAGACGGGGGAGUCCAUGUUUCUCCGAUCGUUGCCUUGACCCAAAGGCAAACACAAAUCACUUGCCUCUGGGGAUUUGAAUAGUUACCAAAAGCCCAAGGCAGUGAAGGAGGAAAUGUGAUGUAUUUUCAGCUUCUUUCCGAUAUUGUGGAUGUAAAACCCCUAACCCGUAUCCAUCACCGGAGUGGGGUUACGAGACGAUGUGUACCAAGAACACUCACAAUGGCUCACGCCUCCAGGCUAGUUCAUCUUCAAGGUAUUGUUGCCAAUAGGAUUCGAAGGAUCCUUCCCGCAUUAGCCGCAGUAAAGAUGAAGAAAGAUGUGGGAUCGACCUUGAUCGGGGAAAGGAAAAGAUUGUGGACUAAAUUGCAAAAUUUCUUUAUUUUGUACCGAGUUUUGUCAAGUUGGCUAGGAGAUCGGGAACAGUCGGAGGCGUGCUCACACUAUCAACAAACUAUUUCGGUAUAAUGACUUAUAUAUUUUGGGAAUAUGACAUGUAUAGCAUUAUAAUCAUUUUGUGUAUAUAAUCUUAUGAUAUGGCUCAUGGAUGGCAUGGAAAUGUUUGAGAGUGAUUAGCUAUUGGAGUGGCUAAUCAAGAUUAUAUUUGAUAACACGUAUGCUUUAUGUGCUAACUAAUCUAUGGAAAUCCAUAAAAUGGUGAAAUUGGCUAUAAAACAGAAUUACACAACAGCAGUGACGUGAGUUUGAAAAAUAACUAAAAAUAGUAGAGAUAUAGGUAAAAGAGUUGUAUUUUAUGAGAUAUUUACAUUUUGGUGAAACAGGGUCAGAGCGAUUUCUGGAUUCCCUGUUCUGACUUUAUAAAUUCAUCAUAAAUUGUGUAAAAAUAAUUA